Nycticebus coucang (slow loris) is the source of this 333-nucleotide long non-coding RNA. RefSeq lists it as uncharacterized. The transcript has 3 exons. Lineage: Eukaryota; Metazoa; Chordata; Mammalia; Primates; Lorisidae. The record is from RefSeq and is a predicted model, not a curated record.
CUCCACCAGCCCAGAGCACUGGCCUCUGCUACCACAUUGGGGUCUAAUGCGUUAUACAAAAGAUACAACGUUUCCAUCUUUUUUUUAAGGCUGAGGAAUAGGGAAUAAGGAUUUAAUGAACAACUUCAACCAUCUUACCUAACUGGGGCUAGGAGAUACUUUGGGAGUGGAGACGCUGUGUGGACUCUGCUGAGGCUCUGAAAUUACAUGGCAUCUCUGUCCCUCUUUCACGUUCCCCACCCAAGAAAAGACAGAAUACUUAAGAAAAAAAAAAAGAAAAACAGAAGGGGGACGCUGCAAGCCAGAGACAACUGAAUUAACUUUAUUCUCUUC